CACCGCCCGUCACACCAUGAAAGCCGUUUGUACCCGAAGUCGCCGUGUUAACAGCAAUGAGACAGGUGCCGAAGGUAUGGAUGGUGAUUGGGAUG
Molecule: ribosomal RNA, 95 nt
Filed under: uncultured bacterium
Lineage: Bacteria
Description: partial 16S ribosomal RNA
Rfam family: Bacterial small subunit ribosomal RNA
Source: RNAcentral